UACAGAGGGUGCGAGCGUUAAUCGGAAUUACUGGGCGUAAAGCGUGCGUAGACGGUUUCGUAAGUCGGGUGUGAAAUCCCCGGGCUCAACCUGGGAAUUGCAUUCGAAACUGCGAGGCUAGGGUACGGAAGAGGGAAGCGGAAUUUCUGGUGUAGCGGUGAAAUGCGUAGAUAUCAUAAGGAACAUCAGUGGCGAAAGCGGCUUCCUGGUCCAGUACCGACGUUCAGGCACGAAAGCGUGGGGAGCAAACAGG
RNAcentral lists this ribosomal RNA (253 nucleotides) under uncultured bacterium. RNAcentral's name for it is "partial 16S ribosomal RNA". It matches the Rfam family "Bacterial small subunit ribosomal RNA", at positions 524 to 776 of the family's 1533-position model. The record is from RNAcentral.